UCCUACGGNNNGCNGCAGUGGGGAAUAUUGCACAAUGGGCGAAAGCCUGAUGCAGCUAUGCCGCGUGUAUGAAGAAGGCCUUCGGGUUGUAAAGUACUUUCAACAAGAAAGAAAUAAUAAGAUUUAAUACAUUUUAUUACUGACGUUACUUGUAAAAGAAGCACCGGCUAACUCCGUGCCAGCAGCCGCGGUAAUACGGAGGGUGCUAGCNUUAAUCGGAAUUACUGGGCGUAAAGAGCACGUAGGCGGUUAAUUAAGUCAGGUGUGAAAUCCCUAAGCUUAACUUAGGAACUGCAUUUGAAACUAAUUAACUUGAGUUUCGUAGAGGGGGGUAGAAUUCUAGGUGUAGCGGUGAAAUGCGUAGAUAUCUGGAGGAAUACCAGUGGCGAAGGCGACCCCCUGGACGAAUACUGACGCUCAGGUGCGAAAGCAUGGGGAGCAAACAGGAUUAGAUACCCUGGUAGUCCAUGCCGUAAACGAUGUCGACUUGAAGGUUGUAAGCUUGACUUAUAGCUUUCGUAGCUAACGCGUUAAGUCGACCGCCUGGGGAGUACGACCGCAAGGUUAAAACUCAAAUGAAUUGACGGGGGCCCGCACAAGCGGUGGAGCAUGUGGUUUAAUUCGAUGCAACGCGAAAAACCUUACCUGGUCUUGACAUCCAUGGRAUUUAAUAGAGAUAUUUUAGUGCNUUCGGGAACCAUGAGACAGGUGCUGCAUGGCUGUCGUCAGCUCGUGUUGUGAAAUGUUGGGUUAAGUCCCGCAACGAGCGCAACCCUUAUUCUUUGUUGCCAUCAGCUAGGCUGGGAACUCAAAGAASACUGCCGGUGAUAAACCGGAGGAAGGUGAGGACGACGUCAAGUCAUCAUGGCCCUUACGACCAGGGCUACACACGUGCUACAAUGGUAUAUACAAAGAGAAGCAUCCUUGUAAAAGUAAGCGGAUCUCACAAAAUAUAUCUUAGUUCGGAUUAGAGUCUGCAACUCGACUCUAUGAAGUCGGAAUCGCUAGUAAUCGUAGAUCAGAAUGCUACGGUGAAUACGUUCCCGGGCCUUGUACACACCGCCCGUCACACCAUGGGAGUGGGUUGUAAAAGAAGUAAGCUAUUUAACCUUUGUAAAAGGAGGAUGCUUACCACUUUAUGAUUCAUMACUGGGG
RNAcentral lists this ribosomal RNA (1155 nucleotides) under bacterium endosymbiont of Donacia proxima. Its description in RNAcentral is "bacterial SSU rRNA". It matches the Rfam family "Bacterial small subunit ribosomal RNA", at positions 337 to 1480 of the family's 1533-position model. The record is from RNAcentral.